ACUCCUACGGGAGGCAGCAGUGAGGAAUAUUGCGCAAUGGGCGAAAGCCUGACGCAGCGACACCGCGUGAAGGAUGAAGGCUUUCGAGUCGUAAACUUCUGUUAAGUGGGAAGAAAAGCUCAUUUCUAAUAAAAUGAGUAAUGACGGUACCAUUAGAGAAAGCACCGGCUAAACUCGUGCCAGCAGCCGCGGUAAUACGAGUGGUGCAAGCGUUAUUCGGAAUCAUUGGGCGUAAAGGGUGCGUAGGCGGCAUGCUAAGUCAACUGUUAAAUCUUCCGGCCUAACUGGAAGCUUGCAGUAGAUACUGGUGUGCUAGAGGUUGGAAGAGAGAAGUGGAAUUCUCGGAGUAGCGGUAAAAUGCGUAGAUCUCGAGAGGAACACCGAUGGCGAAGGCAGCUUCUUGGUCCAAAUCUGACGCUCAGAUGCGAAAGCGUGGGGGAGCAAACAGGAUUAGAUACCCUGGUAGGCUCUGCU
This 474-nucleotide ribosomal RNA is filed under the name uncultured bacterium. RNAcentral describes it as "bacterial SSU rRNA". It matches the Rfam family "Bacterial small subunit ribosomal RNA", at positions 335 to 801 of the family's 1533-position model. The record is from RNAcentral.